AAACUGUGUUGCGCUCAGCCCGACAAACUGAACCAGGGGCUUGCAGGGGUGAGACCACCACCCUGCUUAGAGUUCGGACAAGGUCAUCAAGCUUACCCCACUGUGACGCGUCGAAAACGGAGGCGGCAGGUGGUUGGAGCGGUGAGAACCCCACUGUGAGUUCGUUACAUGGCGAGCAAAUGGUGAUUCUCUGCAACGAUUUUGGAGAGCUGAACUCCCCUGUCUCCAUUGGUUUGGGUUUUGGGGUUUGUGAUUUGGGAUUUGAGGUUUAGGAUUUAGGGUUUGGGGUUUGAGAUUGGGGUUUAGGGUUAGCUCCCGGCGGCGAGCUUACUCCAGUUCCAGUAGUUUUAAAUAAACGAUCCGCCAACGGCGAAGCGCUGCUGCUCCUCUUUCUCUUUCCUCUGCCGAGCUCCAAGCCUUUUCCAUGGCGGUGUCCUGCUCACUUCCCUCCAUCAGUCCCUCCCUCCGCUCGUCCGCAAAGAUCUCCGCCACCUCUCCUCCCCUCUUCUUCUUCUUAUCGAAAAUUACUUUUUACUAAGUGAUUGAAAAUGAUUAAAUUUAUGUCAAUAAUGUUCAGGUGGAAUCAUCAGUUGCGGGCAAGACUGCAGUAAACCAUCCUUUUACCAGCCACAAUGUGUUUUAAUAGAUACUGACGCUCUAAAUACAUUGCCUGAUAGGGAAUUGGCAUCUGACAUUGGUGAGAUUGUAAAGUGUGGGCUCGUUAGGGAUGCCAAGUUGUUUGAGUGGCAAGAACAGAACUUGCAAUCUCUUUUGAGAUCCAUCCACCUGGCAUAUGCAAUCAAGCCAUCUUGUGAGAACAAAACUAAGGUUGGCUCCUUGGAUGAAAAAGGAAGAGGCAUCCGGGCAACCCUGAACUUUGAGCAUACGUUUGGACGCAAUUGAAACAGUGGAUGAUGGGCAAUGGCUCCAUGGAGAAGCAGUUGCAACUGGAUUGGUGAGACGAUGCAUUCGAUCUCAUUCACUCUCAAGUUAGUUUUGUUUCUAGAUGUUUCAAUCAAUGAAUGGAUAAUGUUGUAUUAUUUAAAUCAAGUCAUAAUUAAGAUAGAAUAUAUCCGUAUUUAAUGGAUAUGCUUUGAAUAAAUGAAAGGCUAAGGCUAGAUCUAGAUGCAUA
This is a long non-coding RNA of Zingiber officinale, 1132 nucleotides long. RefSeq lists it as uncharacterized. The transcript has 3 exons. Lineage: Eukaryota; Viridiplantae; Streptophyta; Magnoliopsida; Zingiberales; Zingiberaceae. The record is from RefSeq and is a predicted model, not a curated record.